This 600-nucleotide ribosomal RNA is filed under the name Triticum aestivum (bread wheat). RNAcentral describes it as "partial small subunit ribosomal RNA". Lineage: Eukaryota; Viridiplantae; Streptophyta; Magnoliopsida; Poales; Poaceae. The record is from RNAcentral.
AUGUACAGCAAAGCGGAAUCAAACGUAGCGGAGCUCAAGAGACUGGGCGCCACGGUGCUACAUAGUGUCAGUGUGAAGAAGAUGAAGAAACGCACCGAUCUCAUGUCUAGACGGUUUGACCGAAUAGUCUUCAAUUUUCCUCACGCCGGGUUCAUAGGGAAGGAGAAUCAGGUGCAUAUGAUCAAGUACGCGUGCUCACUCUCUCGAUACAUAAUAUGGCCAUCUUCUUCACUUGUCUAUUUCUUUCCCAUCAUUUGUCUGACACCUCACACAUGCCAGAGAGUUAACUUCGUAUUAACAUUUUCCUGUGUCGUUGUAGCGCCCAUCGGCUGCUGGUGCAAAGGUUCUUCCGCAAACGCGAGCGGAAGGCUCCGUCCCCUCGGCAAAAUACACGUCAGCCACAAGACGGGGCAGCCGUACGACAGGUGGGAAAUCGAGGGUCUCGCCCUCGAGUUUUCGCUUCUCAAGUUUGAGAUGGUCGCCUUCCGUAAAGAGGAUUACCCCGGGUAUAACCAAAAGAGAGGCGACGGUGACAGGUGCGACGAGGAAUUCCCUCUACGCAACGGCUGCACUUUCAAGUUCCAGCGCCGGCCUCGCUGA